UUCCUCCCUCCUCUCUCCCCCAUCGGUCUUUCCCUCUCCCACCGGAUGCGGCGGACAAGGCAGCGACGUCGGCCGCGCCGGCGGCGGCCGGCCUCCUCGUCCUCUUCUGUGCCGCCUCCCUCACCUGCCUGUCAACUCUGUUUCUCCCUCUCCUCCCCCCCCUCUCUCUCUCCUUCCCUCUCGAGGCGGCGACGUGUGCCAGGUGACGGUGCCUUUGCGGGCGGUACGCCGGCGUAGGAGGGCCUCGGCUGCCCCCUCCCUAUCCUCCAUCCUCCACGUGGGCUCCUCAAUGCCUCCUCUCGCUGGGGAGCUUGUGCUCCUCUACUCGACGAAACCCUAGGUGCUGUGCGGCGGCGGCGGCCCUCUUCGUUGCAGGCUGGAUCUGAUGGUGACUCUCCCUCUUCUUCUCGUCCUUCGUUCGAUUAUGUGUUUUGACCAAGUAAUUUCUAUCAGUACAAAUUGAGUAGCUGCUUCUUCAAGGCCAAGCCUACAAUUACAUUACUAGCUCAUAAAUUCUUGAUUCUGUUACUUAGCUAUUCUACUUUGGCGUCCAUCGUGCCUUGUGUCUUCCAAAUGUUGGUCCCAAGGUAUGCAUGCUCUAAUGUUAUGUCAUGGUUAAUAAGUUCCUGUGACCUCGAAUUUCAGUUAGUCAAGAUUUCUGAGCCAAAAUGCAGUGACGUUGGUUAUGUCACAUUCAUAGUGCUUAGCUUAUAUGUAUCGUCACGAGCAGCAACUCAACAAAACUGAAAUUAAGCUGAUAUGCAUUUUAUUGUUGCCCAGUUCGUAGCUGAAACUUGCUACAACCUUCUUCCAUCUUUGUUUGUGGUCAUAUAUUUUAGUGGUUUUGUCUUGAUCCUAUCCUCUGUUCCCUAACUUCCCUUCGGUCUCCAAACUACUGGCCUGCUUCUUAAUAAUGACAAAAUUCAUCGAACUUUUUUCCCCUAUUUUUAGAAUUAGAGUUUCGUUUCAAGCAAGAGAUAAAAUAUUCAUUUACUAUGCCUUUGCAUGAUAAUUGAUUUUUUUGGUCCUAUGGACAGUACUAAAAGACAUGGAUGUUCAGUACACUAAUUUGCAUAAUUUCUUCGCCAGGUAAAACUAUUUUUCGUCAGCAGCUCGUUUGUUUUAGCUUUUGCCUGUAUUAGUUAGUCCUCAUGUAUAACAGUCCAUACCUACUUUCAUUUUAGUACAAUGGUUUCGUGAUAUCAAAAUAGUUUCCUUACAAUCAAUCUAUGCUGCUGAAAGAUAUGUAUCGACCAUUGCUUGUGUUGCUCUAUUUCAUUUCCAGCAGAAAAAAGGUCAGGUUGCUGCACAUAAUGAAUUGGUUCCCUCUUCAUCAUUUGUUAUAUUGUAAUGUAACCCUCCCUGCCAAGUUGCCACAAAUAUUUGACCAACACAUGCACACAUGUUACUGUCUGCGCUUUCUAGCAUGUGCAAUCAAUCCCUAAAAAUUAUAGCAACAUACCACUUACCAGUAAUGUGGUGUCAAAGUGGGGGUCUUUGUUUUUUCAGUUAGCGUAUGCUUUCCCCAAUUCUAAAGGAGCUUUAGUCUUCCGGCAUAUGUACUAGAACAAGUUAACAAAUCCAUUUUUAAUUACACAUGGUUAUUGCCAUUCUUCGGAUCACACUAUGGAGAAUAAGUUUUCCGGCUCGAAGACGCAAACAAUGCAAUUAGGUGGAUAUUAUAUGGUCUGCACCUCUUUCUUUGCCUAAUUUCAUAAUGCCGAAAUUAAUAUAUGAGACUUCAAAAUGAAUAGUUGACAUUCUGCAAGAUGCACCCUGUCCAAAUAUAGUGGGUUGUAAUCUCUUCCUAAUUUUAUCUGACUAAUUUUUCAUGUGCUCUGCCUAAUUUAUGUGAUUGUUUUUUAUAUGUGCACAGUUUGUCCUAAAUCUACUUCCUUUGCAAAAGAAUAGGGAUGCAGGUAUAUACGUAUGUAUGUUUAGCCUUCGUAGAAUAUAUCCACUUAUUCCUGAAUGUUAAGUAGCUAUUUCACUUAUUUGGGGAUUUUUAUACUUUACACAAUACUAUGAUAAUCUGAUAGUUGCUGCAAUUAGUUGGUUCACAGCCUUUUGAAACAAAAUUCUCUCAAAGUCUGCUACUUUUUUUAUCACUUUUGCCUGACCCUCCUCCCUUUAAAAUGUGAUGUUGGAUGAAAACGGUGCAGACUAAAAGGUGUCCGUGGAGAAAACUAUAUCAUGAACAGCAAUCACAACGUGAUUCCUUCACAGGUUGAAGUGGAGGCCUAUCUUGCUCAAACAACUGAAGAUGGGCAAGAUCCAAAGACACUAGUUGAAGCUAUAGCUCAUGUUCUGCCCAAAUCAACUUUCCUUCUCAAUGUUGGCAUGGAGUCCAAAUAGAUGAAGAAAGAUGCUAAAACUGCUGCGAUGAACAAGCGUGUGCAAGAACUGAUGUUCUGGAUGUAGCUGAUGUUCUGAAGACAUUUGAGAUUUUUGAUGGAGCCUAUGUUCUGCAGAUAUUUGAGAUUCUGGAUGUGUAACCUAUGUUCUGCAUUCAUUUGUGCUUUUGGUGUUGUAUUGUAGUUUGAGACCUGUAUAAAAUGCCUGUGAUAUUUUAAUUAAUUGUGGAGAUUGCUUAUUUGAUUCUAGUUGUGUGGGCUGAAUAUAUUUGUGGGUUGGAUGUUGUAUGGGCCAA
This is a long non-coding RNA of Sorghum bicolor (sorghum), 2650 nucleotides long. RefSeq lists it as uncharacterized. The record is from RefSeq and is a predicted model, not a curated record. NCBI's taxonomy places the organism in Eukaryota, Viridiplantae, Streptophyta, Magnoliopsida, Poales, Poaceae. The transcript is spliced from 2 exons.